CCUACGGGAGGCAGCAGUGGGGAAUAUUGCACAAUGGGCGAAAGCCUGAUGCAGCGACGCCGCGUGAGGGAUGACGGCCUUCGGGUUGUAAACCUCUUUCAGCAGGGAAGAAGCGAAAGUGACGGUACCUGCAGAAGAAGCGCCGGCUAACUACGUGCCAGCAGCCGCGGUAAUACGUAGGGCGCAAGCGUUGUCCGGAAUUAUUGGGCGUAAAGAGCUCGUAGGCGGCUUGUCACGUCGGGUGUGAAAGCCCGGGGCUUAACCCCGGGUCUGCAUUCGAUACGGGCUAGCUAGAGUGUGGUAGGGGAGAUCGGAAUUCCUGGUGUAGCGGUGAAAUGCGCAGAUAUCAGGAGGAACACCGGUGGCGAAGGCGGAUCUCUGGGCCAUUACUGACGCUGAGGAGCGAAAGCGUGGGGAGCGAACAGGAUUAGAUACCCUGGUAGUCCACGCCGUAAACGGUGGGAACUAGGUGUUGGCGACAUUCCACGUCGUCGGUGCCGCAGCUAACGCAUUAAGUUCCCCGCCUGGGGAGUACGGCCGCAAGGCUAAAACUUAAAUGAAUUGACGG
This 568-nucleotide ribosomal RNA is filed under the name uncultured bacterium. RNAcentral's name for it is "bacterial SSU rRNA". It matches the Rfam family "Bacterial small subunit ribosomal RNA", at positions 338 to 916 of the family's 1533-position model. The record is from RNAcentral.